AGAACGAACGCUGGCGGCAGGCCUAACACAUGCAAGUCGAACGCUGUAGCAAUACAGAGUGGCAGACGGGUGAGUAACGCGUGGGAACAUACCCCUCGGUUCGGAAUAGCUCAGGGAAACUUGGAUUAAUACCGGAUACGUCCGUAAGGAGAAAGAUUUAUCGCCGAAGGAUUGGCCCGCGUCUGAUUAGCUAGUUGGUGAGGUAACGGCCCACCAAGGCGACGAUCAGUAGCUGGUCUGAGAGGAUGAUCAGCCACAUUGGGACUGAGACACGGCCCAAACUCCUACGGGAGGCAGCAGUGGGGAAUAUUGGACAAUGGGCGCAAGCCUGAUCCAGCCAUGCCGCGUGGGUGAUGAAGGCCCUAGGGUUGUAAAGCCCUUUCGGCGGGGAAGAUAAUGACGGUACCCGCAGAAGAGGCCCCGGCUAACUUCGUGCCAGCAGCCGCGGUAAUACGAAGGGGGCUAGCGUUGCUCGGGAUCACUGGGCGUAAAGCGCACGUAGGCGGCUUUUUAAGUCAGGGGUGAAAUCCUGGAGCUCAACUCCAGAACUGCCUUUGAUACUGAGAAGCUCGAGUCCGGGAGAGGUGAGUGGAACUGCGAGUGUAGAGGUGAAAUUCGUAGAUAUUCGCAAGAACACCAGUGGCGAAGGCGGCUCACUGGCCCGGUACUGACGCUGAGGUGCGAAAGCGUGGGGAGCAAACAGGAUUAGAUACCCUGGUAGUCCACGCCGUAAACGAUGGAUGCUAGCCGUUGUCGGGUUUACUCGUCAGUGGCGCAGCUAACGCAUUAAGCAUCCCGCCUGGGGAGUACGGUCGCAAGAUUAAA
This 825-nucleotide ribosomal RNA is filed under the name uncultured bacterium. RNAcentral's name for it is "bacterial SSU rRNA". It matches the Rfam family "Bacterial small subunit ribosomal RNA", at positions 26 to 898 of the family's 1533-position model. The record is from RNAcentral.